UACAGAGGUCCCAAGCGUUGUUCGGAUUCAUUGGGCGUAAAGGGUGCGUAGGUGGCAUGGUUAGUCGGGUGUGAAAUCCCGGGGCUCAACCCCGGAACUGCACUCGAUACUGCCGUGCUCGAGUACUGGAGAGGAGACUGGAAUUUACGGUGUAGCAGUGAAAUGCGUAGAUAUCGUAAGGAAGACCGGUGGCGAAAGCUAGUCUCUGGACAGUCACUGACACUGAGGCACGAAGGCCAGAGGAGCAAACGGG
This 253-nucleotide ribosomal RNA is filed under the name uncultured bacterium. Its description in RNAcentral is "partial 16S ribosomal RNA". It matches the Rfam family "Bacterial small subunit ribosomal RNA", at positions 524 to 776 of the family's 1533-position model. The record is from RNAcentral.